This 599-nucleotide ribosomal RNA is filed under the name uncultured Acidobacteriota bacterium. RNAcentral's name for it is "bacterial SSU rRNA". It matches the Rfam family "Bacterial small subunit ribosomal RNA", at positions 8 to 586 of the family's 1533-position model. Lineage: Bacteria; Pseudomonadati; Acidobacteriota. The record is from RNAcentral.
AGAGUUUGAUCCUGGCUCAGAAUGAAACGCUGGCGGCGUGCUUAACACAUGCAAGUCGUGCGCGAAGGUGGCUUCGGCCACCGGAGAGCGGCGAACGGGUGAGUAACACGUGGGUAAUCUGCCUGGGAGCGGGGGAUAACCUGGGGAAACUCGGGCUAAUACUGCAUACGUUGGAGAGAUGGUGAUCUUUCCAGGAAAGCUGGCCUCUACUUGUAAGCUAGCACUCCCAGAGGAGCCCGCGCCUGAUUAGCUAGUUGGUGAGGUAAUGGCUCACCAAGGCGACGAUCAGUAGCCGGCCUGAGAGGGUGAUCGGCCACACUGGGACUGAGACACGGCCCAGACUCCUACGGGAGGCAGCAGUGGGGAAUAUUGGACAAUGGGCGCAAGCCUGAUCCAGCAACGCCGCGUGGAGGACGAAGGUCUUCGGAUCGUAAACUCCUGUCAGGUGGGGCGAAGGUUGCGGGGUGAACAAUCCCGUAGCUUGACGGUACCACCAGAGGAAGCCCCGGCUAACUCCGUGCCAGCAGCCGCGGUAAUACGGAGGGGGCGAGCGUUAUUCGGAAUUAUUGGGCGUAAAGGGCGCGUAGGCAGCUCGAUAA